UUUUCUUCUUUAAAUGCAGAUGUAAGCCUCGAUCUGCAGAUCAAGGCAGGGUUCAAGACCAUACUCAGAUAUUCCGUCGAUUAUGCAUGUCGAGAAGCAGAGAGAACCCCGAGCAAAUUACCUCAUUUGGUUCCCAAUCACUCAGAUACCACUACUUUUAUCUUGACAUUGAUAGGUGAAGUGAAUUGACUUGGGUCCAUAGUGAGCUCCUUGUAGGAGUUGCGCUAAGGGAGAAAAUCAGCUAUAUAGACCAAGAAAAGAUAUGUUAGUGAGAUCUGCAGAGCAAGAUGAUAUAGAAGUUCAAAAGCAUCAAAUGGCAGAACAUUGUGAGAAGAACUGUGAGAAGCAAUGUGACUACGAAAUCAAGUAUGCUGAUCUUAGCUCUUCCCUUGGUGUUCUCAUCAACGAUGAGUUUGAUAUCAAUCUCCAGAACGGAUCAGUUGCCGACUUGUAUAUAUUGUUUUCAGGUGUGGAUAUGAUCAGCAAGGUCUACUGUUGAACACGCUGGUAAAAACAGACGGGAUAAUUGGUCUAAGCAGAGCUACAAUUAGCUUGCCUUCUCAACUUGCAAGCCGAGGUAUCAUCAGCAAUGUGGUUGGCCACUGCUUUCCCUCUGAUUUGAACGUCAAGGCUAUAUCAUCAUUGGAAGUGAUUUGAUUCCCUCACACGAAAUCACAUGGGUUCCUAUACUUCACCAUUCUCAAUUGGAAGUUUAUCAGAUGCAAGUUUCAAAAGACAUCUAUGAAAUUGAAGAAGAGCUGAAGCAAUUGAAAGAGUGUGUUUGAAGAUAAGUCCCUAACUGUUUGUAUGUUUGGUUGUCUUAAAAAUGAGUUACUAUUUGUAACUAAAAUAUAAUUUGUAAAUAUAUUAAUGUUUACAAUUGCUGUGUAGGUUCUGCAGUGGGCUCUUUAGAGGAUAAAGCUUUUUUACUUCAGUGAAGACAUGAGAGACAGACACAACCCUUCUCAAUAUGUCAUCAAAUGCAAGUUUCAAAAGACUUCUAUGUAUGCGAAGAAGAGCUGAAGCAAUUGAAAGAGUGUGUUUGAAGAUAAGUUCCUAACUGUUUGUAUGUUUGGUUGUCUUAAAAAUGAGUUACUCUUUGUAACUAAAAUAUAAUUUGUAAAUAUAUUAAUGUUUACAAUUGCUGUGUAGGUUCUGCAGUGGGGUCUUUAGAGGAUAAAACUUUUUUACUUUAGUGAAGACAUGGGAGACAGACACAACCCUUCUCAAUAUGUAAUCAAGAUUGAUGCUAAAGGGGUGAAGGGCAUAUCAGUGAUAGCUGUAAAGCUCCUAGAAUAAAGAAAACAGGGCUUGAGCUGAACAAAAGAGAAAAGGUGUUAUCUUUUCAAUGCCUGAAACUCAUGCCUCAACAUUCUCUAUACAAAGCAAAAGGUCGAUGAUAAUCAUGUUAAGGAUUUUCGAGUUAAGCUUGAUCUUCAAUUAUCAGAUUUUUAAGGAUCCUAAGGUAUGUCAAAAUCACACUAUAUUAUGUAUAUAGUUAGAAACUGCUAGGACUGAAAGGCGAAAUAGUUUGUUUCAGGGAGAUUAAAAAUAGAUUAGUGACAGGUUAAAUUUAUUGAUUUCCUAUUAUGUAUAUAGUUAGAAACUGGUAGGAUAUGUAAAUCACAGAAUUUAUAUAGAUUAACGUGAUAUUAUAAUAUGAAAAGCACAAACCAAGAUAAAAAAUAGAAAACACCAAAAUUUAUUAGAAGCAUAAAUAGGAAAACAAAGUACCAGAAUAUGAAAAAAUCAAAGCAAAAACCAAGAUAAAAAUAGAUAAAACCAAAAACAAAUGAAAAACAUUCUUCAGCAUUGCUACUCUUCCUUCUCCUUUUCGAUUUUGAUGGAGCUGCAAAUCUUUUUCGAAGUAGAAGUUACAUCUGGGGUAUUAUCAUCUUGCUCCUUACGUUUUGCAGCAGGAGUUUUGCAGUCUUCUGAAUCAUUCUGGUUGUUUCCUUCCAGCAUGAACACCUAAUACACAAAAAUUAUAAAAUCACGGCUCUAUAAUAUACAAAAUAAAAUAUAUAUUACAUUGUAUGUAUAAUGUAAAUAACAAACUCACAACUUCAGAAGACAUGGCAGAAGAAGAUGUGCCAAUCAUUGAGGAUGGCUCGGAAGCUGAUUCAACUUUCAGAACGUGAUCUCCAGACCAGACCUCAAGAACUUUAAAUGUGUCUGCCCCAUCCCUCACAUUGUCAGAGGAAACAGCAAUGCCAAAACAAUAAGAUUUUCCUUCUAAAGCUUUAAUAGGUUCUGGUAGGAGCUCAGGAUCUUCAAUCUGUGUUAAAGUGUUCAUUAGGGUCUGUGCAUAUUAAAUGUAAAACUUAAGAGCAGAAACCAAAAGUACCUCAUCAUAUGAGCCAUCCCACAGAUCAACAGCUUCAUGUCCAACAAUGGUCUGAGCAACUGUGUUCAGCAAAAUCAACUUACAUGUUUCUGUGUCAUCCUUCACAAUCAAAUGAAGCUUGAACCUAUUCAAUUUCACGCAUUAAAUAUUAAGUGGUGUAAAAUAAAAGUGAAAAAUUGAACAAAUAAUUAGAGACUCGAAAAUGUGAGCUUACACAGGUAUCACUUCAGUGAUCUUAAUUUUGCAGUGCUCACAAAACCAAAGUUGCUUGUCAUCAAGGUUCGACCUUGAAUGAACACUCUGUUUAAGUUUUAUUGCACGAUGUUUGCAACCUUUAUGCCCAAAGUAGAACCAUGCCCAAUCAGUGUCAACAGCUUCAACUGAGCAAAUGAUCUUGCAGUUGUCAAUCUGAGAAAAUAUGUGAAUAUUUAAAAUUAG
Raphanus sativus (radish) is the source of this 2785-nucleotide long non-coding RNA. RefSeq lists it as uncharacterized. NCBI's taxonomy places the organism in Eukaryota, Viridiplantae, Streptophyta, Magnoliopsida, Brassicales, Brassicaceae. The transcript is spliced from 8 exons. The record is from RefSeq and is a predicted model, not a curated record.